AUGCAAUAAAAAUUAUUGCCAAGAUAAUAUAGUAUAUUUUUAUUUCAGAAAGUUUGGCUGACAGUGUGACAAAACCCAAAUUGUAUCCAAUUUCAUAUGCUUGUCCCCACUCUCUCCAAUAGUCUAACACGUGAAUUGAGUACAAAUUGCUAUUUCGGCCAAUCACACAUCUUUUUCUUUGAAUUUAUGGCCACAAGCACUCGAGUGGACUGAUCUAAUAAUUUGAUGCUUUUCUACCGUUGACUAAUCUCC
This 252-nucleotide long non-coding RNA is filed under the name Olea europaea subsp. europaea. The record is from RNAcentral. Lineage: Eukaryota; Viridiplantae; Streptophyta; Magnoliopsida; Lamiales; Oleaceae.